This 776-nucleotide ribosomal RNA is filed under the name Enterobacter hormaechei. RNAcentral's name for it is "partial 23S ribosomal RNA". It matches the Rfam family "Bacterial large subunit ribosomal RNA", at positions 416 to 1194 of the family's 2925-position model. RNAcentral also lists the same sequence under 1 other name. Lineage: Bacteria; Pseudomonadati; Pseudomonadota; Gammaproteobacteria; Enterobacterales; Enterobacteriaceae. The record is from RNAcentral.
GGCGGGACACGUGGUAUCCUGUCUGAAUAUGGGGGGACCAUCCUCCAAGGCUAAAUACUCCUGACUGACCGAUAGUGAACCAGUACCGUGAGGGAAAGGCGAAAAGAACCCCGGCGAGGGGAGUGAAAAAGAACCUGAAACCGUGUACGUACAAGCAGUGGGAGCCUCUUUAUGGGGUGACUGCGUACCUUUUGUAUAAUGGGUCAGCGACUUAUAUUCUGUAGCAAGGUUAACCGUAUAGGGGAGCCGAAGGGAAACCGAGUCUUAACUGGGCGUUAAGUUGCAGGGUAUAGACCCGAAACCCGGUGAUCUAGCCAUGGGCAGGUUGAAGGUUGGGUAACACUAACUGGAGGACCGAACCGACUAAUGUUGAAAAAUUAGCGGAUGACCUGUGGCUGGGGGUGAAAGGCCAAUCAAACCGGGAGAUAGCUGGUUCUCCCCGAAAGCUAUUUAGGUAGCGCCUCGUGAACUCAUCUUCGGGGGUAGAGCACUGUUUCGGCUAGGGGGCCAUCCCGGCUUACCAACCCGAUGCAAACUACGAAUACCGAAGAAUGUUAUCACGGGAGACACACGGCGGGUGCUAACGUCCGUCGUGAAGAGGGAAACAACCCAGACCGCCAGCUAAGGUCCCAAAGUCAUGGUUAAGUGGGAAACGAUGUGGGAAGGCACAGACAGCCAGGAUGUUGGCUUAGAAGCAGCCAUCAUUUAAAGAAAGCGUAAUAGCUCACUGGUCGAGUCGGCCUGCGCGGAAGAUGUAACGGGGCUAAACCAUGCAC